UAUGCACGCUGGCGGCGUGCCUAAUACAUGCAAGUCGAGCGAACAGACGAGGAGCUUGCUCCUCUGACGUUAGCGGCGGACGGGUGAGUAACACGUGGAUAACCUACCUAUAAGACUGGGAUAACUUCGGGAAACCGGAGCUAAUACCGGAUAAUAUAUUGAACCGCAUGGUUCAAUAGUGAAAGACGGUUUUGCUGUCACUUAUAGAUGGAUCCGCGCCGCAUUAGCUAGUUGGUAAGGUAACGGCUUACCAAGGCGACGAUGCGUAGCCGACCUGAGAGGGUGAUCGGCCACACUGGAACUGAGACACGGUCCAGACUCCUACGGGAGGCAGCAGUAGGGAAUCUUCCGCAAUGGGCGAAAGCCUGACGGAGCAACGCCGCGUGAGUGAUGAAGGUCUUCGGAUCGUAAAACUCUGUUAUUAGGGAAGAACAAAUGUGUAAGUAACUAUGCACGUCUUGACGGUACCUAAUCAGAAAGCCACGGCUAACUACGUG
RNAcentral lists this ribosomal RNA (497 nucleotides) under uncultured bacterium. RNAcentral's name for it is "partial 16S ribosomal RNA". It matches the Rfam family "Bacterial small subunit ribosomal RNA", at positions 29 to 507 of the family's 1533-position model. The record is from RNAcentral.